Long non-coding RNA from Cydia splendana, 1518 nucleotides. RefSeq lists it as uncharacterized. The transcript has 4 exons. NCBI's taxonomy places the organism in Eukaryota, Metazoa, Arthropoda, Insecta, Lepidoptera, Tortricidae. The record is from RefSeq and is a predicted model, not a curated record.
CUUAAAGAAUACCUACAAUGAUAAAGCGAUUUCCACCAAUUUCCAUUCCUUAGCUUGUGUUAAUUGAUUAAAAAUACCUACACGUGGUGCCUAUACACGAUGCCACAGUCACUUAAUUUUAUUAAAGUAGCACUUAUAAUAUUAUUAUUUUUGGAAUCAUAUAAUACCUCAAGCGAUAUUAACAAACAUAAACUCCCUGCGAGCGGGCUAAGAGUAUAAAGUAUUAGAAAUGAAUAUCGGACUGAAGCCAAUUGACAUAUUUAUUUUAACAGAAAACAUUUUUGGUCUCUACAAAAAUAUAAGCACGUUUAGCAAGCUAAGAAAAACAAUUGCCAUCACCAUAAUUUCUAUUGAAUUAUCUUUGUGUUUAUACGUUCUUUAUACUAUUGAAUUCAACAAUUUUAAAAACGUAUAUUUGACUCUCUUCUUUCAGUUAUAUUCUAUUGUAUCUAUUUUGAUGUCCUGUUACUAUUCAAAAGCGUAUAUGAAAUUUAUAAAUUGCUUAAAUUCCAACGAUAUACUUGUUGAUUUUUUACAUGACAAGAUAUAUUUCAAACGCUUGGCUUCACAUUUUAAACUUGGCCUCAAGCGCAUCUGCGGAUAUAUAUUUCUUUAUAUUGUGACGAUAAUAAUGUCUGUAAUUUACGAUGUACACGUUGUAGUCCGCAAAGGGGAACAAAAGGUUGUCCUUUUUGGCAGAGCACUAAGUGUGCUUCGUUUACAUGUUGAAUACAAUUUUAUAUGCUUUACAUUCCAUACUAUAUCUGAACAACUGCAAUGCAUAACGAGAUCUGUUGUUGGAAGAAAUUUAUAUCAUUGUGAAGAUGGCGACGUAACACGAACAAUAAAUAUAGAGAAAUGGCGCCAAAAUUACAUAAAUGUCAAAAAAUGCACCGUCUUCUUAAAUGAAAUAAUUGGCAUACAGUUGGCUUCAUCGUUUUGUAUCGUCGCAAUGCGCUAUAUUAAUACAUGCUACAGUGCAGUAGUUUAUGGGCUCAAAGGCCACCUCAAUGUUGGAAUGUUGCUGUUUUACGGUUGGGUGUGCAGUUCCAUGUGGAUAAUAUAUGCAACCGUACAUGCAGCGCAGAGUGUACAAAACAGCGUCAGCGCUCUAACGCGUUGCUUAAAACUGCUUUUCGUACUAGAACAAGCGAAUGAACAUGCAGAUGAAAAUAAGCUAAAGAUAGUAAAACAGCUUUUGCAAAUAGUUACAACGCGACCAAUAAAAGUAAAAGCCUUUGGUGGUAUUGACGUCAACAUGGCGCUGAUUCCCGCGUGCCUCAGCAUCGUCGCGAGCUACACUAUCAUCGCUCUCCAGUUCUACAAGAUCGUGUAACGCGUCGCUCUCCGAUUCAACAAUGUCGUAUAACGUAAUGACUUAAAAUGUGGAAUGCCACACAACCAAUAAAAAGAGUUCAAAUACACAACAAAAAAAGGUCUUGCCAUAAAAUGGAAACUAUUUCUUCUAAUUUUAAUCUAAUUAAAAAAGAGGAAGUCGAUUUAAAAUGGUACUGCUUA